GACGAACGCUGGCGGCGUGCCUAAUACAUGCAAGUCGAGCGGAACUUGAAAGCUUGCUUUCUAAGUUUAGCGGCGGACGGGUGAGUAACACGUGGGCAACCUGCCUAUAAGACUGGGAUAACUUCGGGAAACCGGAGCUAAUACCGGAUAAUAUAAAAGAUCACAUGGUCUUUUAUUGAAAGAUGGCUUCGGCUAUCACUUAUAGAUGGGCCCGCGGCGCAUUAGCUAGUUGGUGAGGUAAUGGCUCACCAAGGCGACGAUGCGUAGCCGACCUGAGAGGGUGAUCGGCCACACUGGGACUGAGACACGGCCCAGACUCCUACGGGAGGCAGCAGUAGGGAAUCUUCCGCAAUGGACGAAAGUCUGACGGAGCAACGCCGCGUGAGCGAUGAAGGCCUUCGGGUCGUAAAGCUCUGUUGUUAGGGAAGAACAAGUAUCGUUCGAAUAGGGCGGUACCUUGACGGUACCUAACCAGAAAGCCACGGCUAACUACGUG
RNAcentral lists this ribosomal RNA (496 nucleotides) under uncultured bacterium. Its description in RNAcentral is "bacterial SSU rRNA". It matches the Rfam family "Bacterial small subunit ribosomal RNA", at positions 28 to 507 of the family's 1533-position model. The record is from RNAcentral.